UGAACGCUGGCGGCGUGCCUAACACAUGCAAGUCGAACGGUAAGGCCCCUUCGGGGGUACACGAGUGGCGAACGGGUGAGUAACGCGUGGGUAAUCUACCUAAAAGUGGGGGAUAGCCUCGGGAAACCGAGGGUAAUACCGCAUACGUCCCAGACGACGCGAGUCGACUGGGGGAAAGACGGGGAUCUUCGGACCUGUCGCUUUUGGAUGAGCCCGCGUCCGAUUAGCUUGUUGGUGAGGUAAUGGCUCACCAAGGCUUCGAUCGGUAGCCGGCCUGAGAGGGUGAUCGGCCACAUUGGGACUGAGACACGGCCCAGACUCCUACGGGAGGCAGCAGUGGGGAAUUUUGGGCAAUGGGGGAAACCCUGACCCAGCGACGCCGCGUGGGGGAUGAAGGUCUUCGGAUUGUAAACCCCUGUCAGGUGGGAAGAAGGAUGAAUCGGUUAAUACCCGGUACAUUUUGACGGUACCACCAAAGGAAGCCCCGGCUAACUCC
This 496-nucleotide ribosomal RNA is filed under the name uncultured bacterium. RNAcentral describes it as "bacterial SSU rRNA". It matches the Rfam family "Bacterial small subunit ribosomal RNA", at positions 30 to 504 of the family's 1533-position model. The record is from RNAcentral.